Molecule: ribosomal RNA, 253 nt
Filed under: uncultured bacterium
Lineage: Bacteria
Description: partial 16S ribosomal RNA
Rfam family: Bacterial small subunit ribosomal RNA
Source: RNAcentral
CGGAGGGUGCGAGCGUUGUCCGGAAUCACUGGGCGUAAAGGGCGCGUAGGCGGCCUGAUAAGUAGGGGGUGAAAUCCUGCGGCUUAACCGCAGGGCUGCCUUCUAAACUGUCAGGCUAGAGCACAGUAGAGGCAGGUGGAAUUCCCGGUGUAGCGGUGGAAUGCGUAGAGAUCGGGAAGAACAUCAGUGGCGAAGGCGGCCUGCUGGGCUGUUGCUGACGCUGAGGCGCGACAGCGUGGGAGCAAACAGGAUU